CCUCUAAUAUCUAUGAGAUCAAAUUUAUAAAACAUCUAUUAAUAUAAUUAAUUUCAAUGUACUAGUAUACAUGUAAGAAUUGUUGCCAUUUAUACAUCAUGUACAUGUACAAUCAUUAGCUGAUCAGCUCACUAUUUUUUUCAUUAUUUUUAUUCUCCUUCACUGUUUUUUUUAUAAGACUCAUAUAUAUGAUCUGUAUUCAUCAUUGGGACAGGUAGCUAAAUAUAUAUAGGUGAAGUAGGUCCUUUUGAUUGGAUUUUUUAAAGGAUUUUGACAGCACUAAAGCAUAUACAUGUAGUUCCAAUUUAUAGUUGAUCUUAGCUCCUUAAGUGGAUUGUGGCAACACAUAUUGCAUAUAUACAUGUAGAAUGUUGUUCUUAAGUUUCAGCACUUUACGCAUAGUUUCCGGUUGCAAGACUAGAAUAUGAUACUGGCUUCUCAUGAAAUUCUGUCAGUACUUUGCCAAUAGUUUCCAAGUAAAGUUGAACAUUCCAAGAUCACUCCUUCCAUUUGCAAUGUACAUGUACAAAUGUACUUGCAGCCUGAAAUUAAAUAUCAGAGUAAUUCUGUCAGAAAAUCAACAAUUAUUGACAUUCAAAAGCAUAUAGAUGUAGACUAGUUCAUUAUGGUAAUGUGUCCAUGGGACACAGAUGAGCAGCCGCUUGCAUAUAAAGAAUGAAAAGAGUGACACCACCCA
RNAcentral lists this long non-coding RNA (697 nucleotides) under Mytilus galloprovincialis (Mediterranean mussel). Lineage: Eukaryota; Metazoa; Mollusca; Bivalvia; Mytilida; Mytilidae. The record is from RNAcentral.